GGGAAGUCAUCUGAAAGAAGACAUGUCAUUGGUUGUCACCUUCAAACUAAACUAGGACCACACAUGUCUGUUACAGGGGAGAUGUAGGUGUGUGGAGUGGGGUUGUAUAUAUGAUGGGGUUGGUGUGGAUGGGAAGAUGCGGAUAGGAAGGUGCAUGUCUGGGGUUUUGUUGUUUUUUCUAUAGCUCUGAAACAAACAAUAG
Non-coding RNA from Pelobates cultripes (western spadefoot toad), 202 nucleotides. NCBI's taxonomy places the organism in Eukaryota, Metazoa, Chordata, Amphibia, Anura, Pelobatidae. The record is from the annotation of a GenBank genome assembly.